CUGAGUGAGGGCCUCCGGGCCCGACCUCCCACCCUUUGUUAUUCAAAACCACUGUUGCCUCGGGGGCGACCCAGGCCUCGCGGUUUGGGGCCCCCGGUGGACCAUUUAUCAACACUGCAUCUAUGCGUCGGAUUAAUAAAGUUAAAUGAAUUA
RNAcentral lists this unclassified non-coding RNA (153 nucleotides) under uncultured fungus. RNAcentral's name for it is "sequence contains ITS1, 5.8S rRNA gene". Lineage: Eukaryota; Fungi. The record is from RNAcentral.